CCCUCUUUUAUACAUACAUGUUUCAUAUUCUCUCUUUUGGUGUGAUCGAUUUUCUGUGGGAAUCUGAGAUUUCAAAUCUGCUUGAAUAUAAUGUUAAUAGAUAUUCUGAUUUUGUGUUAAUGGAUUGGAUUUGAACCCUCGAAGAAAGUGUCGAAUUUGAGAAUUGGGUUCCAAUACAUUGAUGGAACAGGUUUUCAGUCCCCUUUAGUAGAAUAGGUAUAAAUAUAGAGCAGAAUCUGUUCUUAAAUGUUGAACUUGGGUUUUUCAAACUACUUUUAUCAAAAUCAACAUCAUCCAAAGGCAAAAUCAAUAGUUACAUGACAAUUUUAUCUAAUUUGAUGAGUUUUGGGACCAAAUGUCUAAUGAGCAAGUAAUUGUUUCUCCAUUUUCUGAGUAACAGGUUGCUUAGCCCAAAGGAUUCUCUACUCCAAAUUCUUUCCAUUGAUCCAUUCCAGUAUGAUGCUGAUCCAGAGAGGCGUUGGGAACAUUUCACGAGUCCAUGACCUUGCAGGCUUGCACAAAAAUGGCCUACUUUACAAGUCCGCUUAACAAUGUCUAAUUCAGAGACAGAUCAAGGAACUACUUCUACGCGCGUCUAUGUCUAAAAUACUAAAAACAGAGUUAUAAAUUCUCCCAUACAUUAUGAGGAAAUAAAUAGGCAUACCAGCUGAGUUAUUCAAGACCUACGUAGGAAACAAUGUGCUUCGGCAAUCUCCAUCUCUUAAUAAGUGAAUACACGUGAUGAAUU
RNAcentral lists this long non-coding RNA (748 nucleotides) under Rosa chinensis. RNAcentral's name for it is "sRNA RchiOBHm_Chr6g0264821". The record is from RNAcentral. Lineage: Eukaryota; Viridiplantae; Streptophyta; Magnoliopsida; Rosales; Rosaceae.